RNAcentral lists this ribosomal RNA (533 nucleotides) under Zoanthus pulchellus. RNAcentral's name for it is "partial 16S ribosomal RNA". It matches the Rfam family "Bacterial large subunit ribosomal RNA", at positions 1849 to 2410 of the family's 2925-position model. Lineage: Eukaryota; Metazoa; Cnidaria; Anthozoa; Zoantharia; Zoanthidae. The record is from RNAcentral.
AGGGUGAUGCCUGCCCAAUGGUUGUAUCUAAAAGCGGUUGAUAAAAGUCGACCUCGUAAGGACAAUUGAAUGGCCGCGGUAACACUGACCGUGAUAAUGUAGCGUAAUCAAUAGCCAAUUAAUUGUUGGCCAGUAUGAAUGGCGCCACGAAGGCCCCACUGUCUUAAGGAAAUUCCCAGUGAAAUUGAAUUCGUAGUGAAGAUGCUACGUCCAAUUUGUUAGACGAAAAGACCCCGUUGAGCUUUACUGGAGCACUUAUAUGGCCCCGGCCUUCCCAUGCCUGGGAACCGGCCGAAUUUAAAUGGGCGGCUUAGAUUAUGUGGCAGCCCCCCGCUGGGGCAAAUGAAACACCACUCCCCCAUGUCAAAGGGGCUAACCCCCCCCUUGGGGGGGACAGUGUAAGUAGGACAGUUUGGUUGGGGCGACCGCCUUUUAAAAAGUAACGAAGGUGCGCUUAAGGUGUGCAAUUAAUGACUGAAGCCUGACUGCGAGGGGGGUACCCCGAGCAGACACCCCUAAGCCCGCCCGAAGGG